AGAGUUUGAUCCUGGCUCAGGAUGAACGCUAGCGACAGGCCUAACACAUGCAAGUCGAGGGGCAGCAUUUCUAGCUUGCUAGAAGAUGGCGACCGGCGCACGGGUGAGUAACGCGUAUGCAACCUACCUUAUACUGGGGGAUAGCCCAGAGAAAUCUGGAUUAAUACCGCAUAAUAUUAUUUUAUCGCAUGGUAGAAUAAUUAAAACUCCGGUGGUAUAAGAUGGGCAUGCGUAGCAUUAGUUUGUUGGUGAGGUAACGGCUCACCAAGACUAUGAUGCUUAGGGGGUCUGAGAGGAUAGUCCCCCACACUGGUACUGAGACACGGACCAGACUCCUACGGGAGGCAGCAGUGAGGAAUAUUGGUCAAUGGACGAAAGUCUGAACCAGCCAUGUCGCGUGCAGGAUGACGGCCCUAUGGGUUGUAAACUGCUCUUUUACAGGAAUAAUUGUCGCUACGUGUAGUGAUUUGAAUGUACUGUAUGAAUAAGAUCGCUAACU
This 499-nucleotide ribosomal RNA is filed under the name uncultured bacterium. Its description in RNAcentral is "bacterial SSU rRNA". It matches the Rfam family "Bacterial small subunit ribosomal RNA", at positions 8 to 502 of the family's 1533-position model. The record is from RNAcentral.